GGGAGCGUGCCCGAGUAAGGACUACCUUGAUAGAGUAGACACGGAGCCGAACACUCCCGCCUCCC
This 65-nucleotide transfer RNA is filed under the name Thermophis zhaoermii. RNAcentral describes it as "tRNA-Ile". The record is from RNAcentral. Lineage: Eukaryota; Metazoa; Chordata; Lepidosauria; Squamata; Dipsadidae.